CCUACGGGUGGCAGCAGUGGGGAAUAUUGGACAAUGGGGGCAAGCCUGAUCCAGCGACGCCGCGUGAGUGAAGAAGUAUUUCGGUUUGUAAAGUUCUUUUAGCAGGGACGAAAAUGAUGGCAGUAGCUGAAGAAUCAGCGGCGAAAUACGAGCUAGCAGCCGCGGUAAAACGUAGGGGGUAAGCGUUAUCCGGCUUAACUGGGUGGAGAGGGGGCGUAGGCGGCAUUGCAAGUCAGAUGUGAAAGAUACGGGCUCAACAUCAGGCCUGCAUUUGAAACUGUAGGGCUGGAGUACUGGAGAGGUAGACGGAAUUCCUAGUGUAGCGGUGAAAUGCGUAGAUAUUAGGAGGAACACCAGUGGCGAAGGCGGUCUGCUGGACAGUAACUGACGUUGAGGCGCGAAAGCGUGGGGAGCAAACAGGAUUAGAUACCCCAGUAGUC
Molecule: ribosomal RNA, 440 nt
Filed under: uncultured bacterium
Lineage: Bacteria
Description: partial 16S ribosomal RNA
Rfam family: Bacterial small subunit ribosomal RNA
Source: RNAcentral